UACGUAGGGUGCAAGCGUUGUCCGGAAUCACUGGGCGUAAAGGGUGCGUAGGCGGGUUUUUAAGUCAGGGGUGAAAUCCUGGAGCUCAACUCCAGAACUGCCUUUGAUACUGAAGAUCUUGAGUCCGGGAGAGGUGAGUGGAACUGCGAGUGUAGAGGUGAAAUUCGUAGAUAUUCGCAAGAACACCAGUGGCGAAGGCGGCUCACUGGCCCGGUACUGACGCUGAGGCACGAAAGCGUGGGGAGCAAACAGG
Molecule: ribosomal RNA, 253 nt
Filed under: uncultured bacterium
Lineage: Bacteria
Description: partial 16S ribosomal RNA
Rfam family: Bacterial small subunit ribosomal RNA
Source: RNAcentral